GAAGAGUCGAUCGGACAACUACAAACUACUGACGCCAAGUGAGAGCAGCGCUGAACAGCUGCGUCUCCUCCCGUGCCGCCCGCCGCCCGCCGCCGGCGAGGGCAGGUGUUCGACGAAAUGUGCACCCGGGGGCCAUCCACCAGGGACUGGUCUGAGAUGACCCUGGACGCGCUCACCUCCGUCUUCGCCAAGCUCGGCGCCGUCGAGCUCCUCAUGGGCGCGGGCCUGGUGUGCCGCUCCUGGCUCUACGCCUCCAGGGCGCCAGAGCUGUGGCGGGCCGUGGUGAUGUCGCGCCCGCCUGACACUCCGGAGGGAACAGAGGCCUUCCUUCGCGCCAUAGCCAAGGUGUCGUCUGAGCUGUGGCCGGCCGUGCCGAUAACGGCCAUAGAUGACCCCUGGCACGCCAUGGCCAAGGUGGAUGACUCUCUGUGUGCCAUGGCCAAGGCGGCUGUCGCCCGCUCCGGCGGGCGGCUACAGAAGUUUGUGGCGAGGGAUUUCGGUACUGAUGAGCUCCUGGAAUAGAUAGCGGACAGGUCGCCCUCUCUGAAGAGCCUUGGCCUGAUGCAAUGCCACGACAUCUCCGAGAAAGGAUUCAUGGACGUGAUAGUAAAGUUCCCUCAGCUAGAAGAGUUAGUGCUUAUUGAGUGCCACAACAUUUCUGAUGAUUAGAAGGAGAACCGUAACGUGUAUGAGGCCAUUAGCAGAGCAUGCUCACAGUUAAAGCUCUUUGUGCUGGCCCACCCAGGGUACUUUCUGCAUCCGGACGGCAGCUACGGCUUCCAUGAUGGGGAUGUGCUUGGAAUUGCUACGAUGAAACAGCUGCGGCACCUUAGUCUUGACUGCGUCGACAUCAACAAUGUGGAACUGGUGAGCAUCAUUGAUAGUUGUCCUUACCUCGAGCAUCUCUGCAUGCGCUACUGCUACAACAUCUUCGCCGAUGAGGCACUACGAGCAAAGUGCGCCAGGAUCAAGACUCUAAAGCUUAAACCCAUGUCUGAUGAAACUGCUGACCCAAACCAAGGCCGUCAUUCUGAUCCUAACGACUGUUGCUUUGCUUUUUUUGAUCCACCAAGUGACUGAGUUCGUCAUACUUUCUUUCUUGGACAUUUAACUAGCUAGUCAUCUCCUGUUGGGGUUAGCAUUACUAAAACUUUUAAACUGAUUGCCCACUUACCUAAACAUGAUAAUGAUUUGAAUAGCAAUCUUAUCAUUCUAUACAAAGCUUGCGUAAUAUUAUUUUUCCUUUUGCCGAACUCUUGUAGCCCUUUGCAUGCUUUUCUUUUGAGGCAAUUCAGCAUGUCCUUGUUCAGUUUCAGUUAUGUUUACAUGCCAAUGACAAACUUGUCCUCUUUUUUCCGUACCUAAUAAUUAUAUUCAAGUAUG
Molecule: non-coding RNA, 1383 nt
Organism: Triticum urartu
Lineage: Eukaryota; Viridiplantae; Streptophyta; Magnoliopsida; Poales; Poaceae
Source: RefSeq, a predicted model, not a curated record